AGAUGUGAGGACAAUCUGGCUGAGAUAUCUGUCACCCAGUUGAUAGCCUGUAUUGAUUGGGCUAAUCUGGUUGACUAGGCUGAUGCCCCUUUCCUCCUUCAUUGUUCCAUGUGUGUGCCUCUGAGGGUCCAUGAUCAGAGAUUGACCCUUUUGGGGGUUUGGUGGU
This 166-nucleotide small nuclear RNA is filed under the name Mus musculus (house mouse). RNAcentral's name for it is "7SK RNA". It matches the Rfam family "7SK RNA", at positions 1 to 193 of the family's 331-position model. From Rfam's summary of the family: 7SK was discovered as an abundant small nuclear RNA in the mid-70s but a possible function has only recently been suggested. Two independent studies have found that 7SK RNA binds the CDK9/cyclin T complex (known as elongation factor P-TEFb). Lineage: Eukaryota; Metazoa; Chordata; Mammalia; Rodentia; Muridae. The record is from Rfam by way of RNAcentral.